AUCCUGUGGAAAAGAGGAAAACAAAUUUCCCACCCUGAGCUGCAGACAGCAUCUGCAGCCUCUGAUUCCUUCAGAGAAGACCCUGAGGCAGAAGUCUCCAUUCUUGUCGGGCUCAAAGGUGGAGGGCACGAUGAUGUAUUCCCCUGCAGGCAGCUUGAAGCGGUUCAGCACCUCCCGGAGGUUGAUGAAGGACACUAAAAAUGCAACAUGAUCUCAAGGCCCCUUCCAGAAUCAAUGGCCUCCAGCUGCAGACUCUGUGCAGUCAUGCUGUCCUGCAGUGAGUCCUGUCAACCUUCCUUGCCUCAUAAAUGGCAAAGCCAAUGGUGUGCAUGUCCUCGCCCAUCUUCC
Serinus canaria (Common canary) is the source of this 348-nucleotide long non-coding RNA. RefSeq lists it as uncharacterized. The transcript has 4 exons. The record is from RefSeq and is a predicted model, not a curated record. NCBI's taxonomy places the organism in Eukaryota, Metazoa, Chordata, Aves, Passeriformes, Fringillidae.